AUAGCUCUUAUCCCUGGUCAGGGAGAGCUUUGAAUAAUAGAAGGUGUGGGAGUUCAGAAAGUUGGAACUCUCUCUACAAGUGAAUGACUCUAUAGAUCUUGGAUUAAUAUCCACAAUGCAUCAACAUGUUAUGUGAGCAAAGGGAUGACACACAGACUAGCAGGAGAUGGGUUACACAUCUCUUUUAUCUGCCAAUUGCCUUAUCAAAGGACUUUUCCU
Molecule: long non-coding RNA, 219 nt
Filed under: Lathyrus oleraceus (garden pea)
Lineage: Eukaryota; Viridiplantae; Streptophyta; Magnoliopsida; Fabales; Fabaceae
Description: Pisum sativum (pea) long non-coding RNA (PSAT_LNC042167)
Source: RNAcentral